AUCGAUGAAGAACGCAGCGAAAUGCGAUAAGUAAUGUGAAUUGCAGAAUUCAGUGAAUCAUCGAAUCUUUGAACGCACCUUGCGCCACGUGGUAUUCCACGGGGCACGCCUGUUUGAGUGUCACGUAAACCCAUCGCGUCGCGGAUUGUCAUGAUCUGCGGGGCGGAUUUGGACGCUGCCGUAGUUGGCUCGUCUCGAAAUGCAUUAGCCAGUCCGAGGACGCGCGCCACUGGUGUGAUAAUUCACUUUGCGCCGCUGGUGUGUCCGACGAAGGCUCAUAAUCGCCCGCAAGGGCAACAUUUUUAAUGCUCUGGCCUCAAAUCAGGUGGGACUACCCGCUGAACUUAAGCAUAUCAAUAAGCGGAGGAAAAGAAACUAACAAGGAUUCCCCUAGUAACGGCGAGUGAAGAGGGAAAAGCUCAAAUUUGUAAUCUGGCGGUCUCUGGCUGUCCGAGUUGUAAUUUGGAGAGGCGUUUUCCGUGUCGGACCACGUACAAGUCCCCUGGAACGGGGCGUCGUAGAGGGUGAGAAUCCCGUUCACGACGUGGACUGCCGAUGCUAUGUGAUGCGCCCUCGAAGAGUCGAGUUGUUUGGGAAUGCAGCUCUAAAUGGGUGGUGUACUUCAUCUAAAGCUAAAUAUUGGCCAGAGACCGAUAGCGCACAAGUAGAGUGAUCGAAAGAUGAAAAGCACUUUGGAAAGAGAGUUAAACAGUACGUGAAAUUGUUGAAAGGGAAGCGCUUGCAAUCAGACUUGCACUGCGUCGAUCAACCUGGGUUCUCCCUGGUGCACUCGGCGCUGUUCAGGCCAGCAUCAGUUUCGGCGGUUGGAUAAAGGCCUAGGGAACGUGGGUUGCCUCGGCGACCGUUAUAGCCCUAGGUGCAAUGCAGCCUGCUGGGACUGAGGACCGCGCUUCGGCUAGGAUGCUGGCGUAAUGGUUGUAAGCGACCCGUCUUGAAACACGG
RNAcentral lists this ribosomal RNA (963 nucleotides) under uncultured fungus. RNAcentral describes it as "eukaryotic LSU rRNA". The stretch from base 312 to 963 matches the Rfam family "Eukaryotic large subunit ribosomal RNA", at positions 1 to 664 of the family's 3401-position model. The record is from RNAcentral. Lineage: Eukaryota; Fungi.